This 619-nucleotide ribosomal RNA is filed under the name Escherichia coli. Its description in RNAcentral is "partial 23S ribosomal RNA". It matches the Rfam family "Bacterial large subunit ribosomal RNA", at positions 1291 to 1895 of the family's 2925-position model. The record is from RNAcentral. Lineage: Bacteria; Pseudomonadati; Pseudomonadota; Gammaproteobacteria; Enterobacterales; Enterobacteriaceae.
CGAAUGCUGACAUAAGUAACGAUAAAGCGGGUGAAAAGCCCGCUCGCCGGAAGACCAAGGGUUCCUGUCCAACGUUAAUCGGGGCAGGGUGAGUCGACCCCUAAGGCGAGGCCGAAAGGCGUAGUCGAUGGGAAACAGGUUAAUAUUCCUGUACUUGGUGUUACUGCGAAGGGGGGACGGAGAAGGCUAUGUUGGCCGGGCGACGGUUGUCCCGGUUUAAGCGUGUAGGCUGGUUUUCCAGGCAAAUCCGGAAAAUCAAGGCUGAGGCGUGAUGACGAGGCACUACGGUGCUGAAGCAACAAAUGCCCUGCUUCCAGGAAAAGCCUCUAAGCAUCAGGUAACAUCAAAUCGUACCCCAAACCGACACAGGUGGUCAGGUAGAGAAUACCAAGGCGCUUGAGAGAACUCGGGUGAAGGAACUAGGCAAAAUGGUGCCGUAACUUCGGGAGAAGGCACGCUGAUAUGUAGGUGAAGUCCCUCGCGGAUGGAGCUGAAAUCAGUCGAAGAUACCAGCUGGCUGCAACUGUUUAUUAAAAACACAGCACUGUGCAAACACGAAAGUGGACGUAUACGGUGUGACGCCUGCCCGGUGCCGGAAGGUUAAUUGAUGGGGUUAGCC